AUUGAACGCUGGCGGCAGGCCUAACACAUGCAAGUCGAGCGGAUGAAGGAAGCUUGCUUCCCGAUUCAGCGGCGGACGGGUGAGUAAUGCCUAGGAAUCUGCCUAUUAGUGGGGGAUAACUCGGGGAAACUCGGGCUAAUACCGCAUACGUCCUACGGGAGAAAGUGGGGGAUCUUCGGACCUCACGCUAAUAGAUGAGCCUAGGUCGGAUUAGCUAGUUGGUGAGGUAACGGCUCACCAAGGCGACGAUCCGUAGCUGGUCUGAGAGGAUGAUCAGCCACGCUGGAACUGAGACACGGUCCAGACUCCUACGGGAGGCAGCAGUGGGGAAUAUUGCGCAAUGGACGAAAGUCUGACGCAGCAACGCCGCGUGGGUGAAGAAGGCCUUCGGGUCGUAAAGCCCUGUCAGGUGGGAAGAAACCUGCGUAAGCAGCUGACGGUACCACCAAAGGAAGCACCGGCUAACUCCGUGCCAGCCGCCGCGGUAA
RNAcentral lists this ribosomal RNA (488 nucleotides) under uncultured bacterium. Its description in RNAcentral is "partial 16S ribosomal RNA". It matches the Rfam family "Bacterial small subunit ribosomal RNA", at positions 29 to 523 of the family's 1533-position model. The record is from RNAcentral.